GUAGGGAAUAUUGGGCAAUGGAUGCAAGUCUGACCCAGCCAUCCCGCGUGCCGGAAGAAGGCCCUCAGGGUUGUAAACGGCUUUUGACGGUGAAGAAUCGACAGGAUGCGUCCUGUUUUGACGGUAGCCGUUGAAUAAGCACCGGCUAACUCCGUGCCAGCAGCCGCGGUAAUACGGAGGGUGCGAGCGUUGUCCGGAUUUAUUGGGUUUAAAGGGUGCGUAGACUGGAAGGUCAGUCAGCGGUGAAAAGCUGUCGCUUAACGAUAGUCUUGCCGCAGAUACUUCCUUUCUUGGAUGAGGAGGAGGCCACUGGAACGGAUGGUGUAGCGGUGAAAUGCAUAGAUAUCAUCCAGAACACCGAUUGCGAAGGCAGGUGGCUGUACCUUAAUCGACGCUGAUGCACGAAAGCAUGGGGAGCAAACAGGAUUAGAUACCCGGGUAGUCC
Molecule: ribosomal RNA, 445 nt
Filed under: uncultured bacterium
Lineage: Bacteria
Description: bacterial SSU rRNA
Rfam family: Bacterial small subunit ribosomal RNA
Source: RNAcentral